UGCCAGCCGCCGCGGUAACACGGGGGGCGCAAGCGUUAUUCGGAAUUAUUGGGCGUAAAGGGCGCGCAGGCGGAAAGGUAAGUCAGAUGUGAAAUCCCGGGGCUCAACCCCGGAACUGCAUCUGAAACUGUUUUUCUAGAGGAUAGGCGGAGAAAGCGGAAUUCCACGUGUAGCGGUGAAAUGCGUAGAUAUGUGGAAGAACACCUGUGGCGAAAGCGGCUUUCUAGCUUAUUCCUGACGCUGAGGCGCGAAAGCAAGGGGAGCAAACAGGAUUAGAUA
Molecule: ribosomal RNA, 279 nt
Filed under: uncultured bacterium
Lineage: Bacteria
Description: partial 16S ribosomal RNA
Rfam family: Bacterial small subunit ribosomal RNA
Source: RNAcentral